This 406-nucleotide ribosomal RNA is filed under the name uncultured bacterium. RNAcentral describes it as "partial 16S ribosomal RNA". It matches the Rfam family "Bacterial small subunit ribosomal RNA", at positions 28 to 526 of the family's 1533-position model. The record is from RNAcentral.
GUCGAACGCUGGCGGCGUGCCUAAUACAUGCAAGUCGAACGAGUGGCGGACGGGUGCGUACUGUAUGUGGUUCUGCCUGAUGGAGGGGGAUAACUACUGGAAACGGUAGCUAAUACCGCAUACCAUCAGAUGAACCCAUAUGGGCUUAGCGUGUAGGGUAGGCACCGGCUCACCUAGGCGACGAUCCCGAGCUGGUCUGAGAGGAUGAUCAGCCACACUGGGACUGAGACACGGCCCAGACUCCUACGGGAGGCAGCAGUGGGGAAUAUUGCACAAUGGGCGCAAGCCUGAUGCAGCCAUGCCGCGUGUAUGAAGAAGGCCUUCGGGUUGUAAAGUACUUUCAGUCGGGAGGCGUUACCGGCAGAAGAAGCACCGGCUAACUCCGUGCCAGCAGCCGCGGUAAUAC